GCCGACGUGGCACAACCUGGUACUGCGCGGGACUGGAAAUCCCGUUCCCUUCGGGGUAUCCCGGUUCAAAUCCGGGCGUCGGCG
Molecule: transfer RNA, 84 nt
Filed under: Candidatus Woesearchaeota archaeon
Lineage: Archaea; Nanobdellati; Candidatus Woesearchaeota
Description: tRNA-Ser
Rfam family: tRNA
About the family: Transfer RNA (tRNA) molecules are approximately 80 nucleotides in length. Their secondary structure includes four short double-helical elements and three loops (D, anti-codon, and T loops). Further hydrogen bonds mediate the characteristic L-shaped molecular structure. tRNAs have two regions of fundamental functional importance: the anti-codon, which is responsible for specific mRNA codon recognition, and the 3' end, to which the tRNAs corresponding amino acid is attached (by aminoacyl-tRNA synthetases). tRNAs cope with the degeneracy of the genetic code in two manners: having more than one tRNA (with a specific anti-codon) for a particular amino acid; and 'wobble' base-pairing, i.e. permitting non-standard base-pairing at the 3rd anti-codon position.
Source: RNAcentral